UACACCGCUCAGUGGGUCUCCGGGGUUCUGAGGUAGCAGCUCUACUGGACCCCAGCUUUCAGAACAGCCCACUGCCCCACAGACCAUCUGGGGCUAAGAGAAGUUAGCUCUCCACUGAGGCCAGAGGCUUGAUUUUUACCUAUGAAGAGAACUGAGAAGAUGGAGAAACUGAGAAAGCAGCUGAAGCCUGAGGGGAGCUAGUAUCUUGAUGCUGUUAAAACCUCCUUUAGUUUAGUCAUCAACACCAUCAGACUUCUGGGAAGGAUAAAUUAUAGGGUUCAAUACAAUGUGUCUUGCUGUUGUCGGUGGUGAUGUCGGUUACCCAGUACGUCCAGACUCUGGGCAAGGAAUGGAGUGAAGAAUUACACCUUCUUCUCAGU
This is a long non-coding RNA of Mastomys coucha (southern multimammate mouse), 380 nucleotides long. RefSeq lists it as uncharacterized. NCBI's taxonomy places the organism in Eukaryota, Metazoa, Chordata, Mammalia, Rodentia, Muridae. The record is from RefSeq and is a predicted model, not a curated record. The transcript has 3 exons.